GAUGAACGCUAGCGACAGGCUUAACACAUGCAAGUCGAGGGGCAUCACGGGUAGCAAUAUCUGGUGGCGACCGGCGAACGGGUGAGUAACGCGUAUGCAACCUACUUGUAAACGGGAGACAACCUGGAGAAAUUUGGGCUAAACUUCCAUGAGGCAUUAUUACUGCAUGGUAAUGAUGUCAAACGUAAGGUUUACAAAUGGGCAUGCGUAUGAUUAGCUAGUUGGUAGGGUAAUAGCCUACCAAGGCGACGAUCAUUAGGGGUUCUGAGAGGAAGGUCCCCCAAUUGGAACUGAGAUACGGUCCAAACUCCUACGGGAGCAGCAGUGAGGAAUAUUGGUCAAUGGACAGAAGUCUGAACCAGCCAAGUCGCGUGAAGGAAGAAGGUUUUCGGAUUGUAAACUUCUGUCCUUGGUGAAGAGAAGAAGACGGUAGCCAAGGAGGAAGCCCCGGCUAACUACGUGCCAGCAGCCCGCGGUAAACUCGUCUCUA
This 490-nucleotide ribosomal RNA is filed under the name uncultured bacterium. RNAcentral describes it as "bacterial SSU rRNA". It matches the Rfam family "Bacterial small subunit ribosomal RNA", at positions 28 to 533 of the family's 1533-position model. The record is from RNAcentral.